CACGUCAUGCACCACCUGUGUAGGGCCCCGAAGGACACCGUAUCUCUACGGCUUUUCCCUACAUGUCAAGCCCUGGUAAGGUUCUUCGCGUCGCGUCGAAUUAAGCAACAUGCUCCACCGCUUGUGCGGGCCCCCGUCAAUUCCUUUGAGUUUCAGCCUUGCGGCCGUACUCCCCAGGCGGGGCACUUAAUGCGUUAGCGCCGGCACCCAGGGGGUCGCUCCCCCAGGCACCUAGUGCCCAUCGUUUACGGCGUGGACUAC
This 261-nucleotide unclassified non-coding RNA is filed under the name uncultured bacterium. RNAcentral describes it as "contains 16S-23S intergenic spacer region". The record is from RNAcentral.